Molecule: ribosomal RNA, 653 nt
Filed under: uncultured bacterium
Lineage: Bacteria
Description: bacterial SSU rRNA
Rfam family: Bacterial small subunit ribosomal RNA
Source: RNAcentral
UCCCAGAGGUUAGCGGCGGACGGGUGAGUAACACGUGGGCAACCUGCCCUGUAGACUGGGAUAACAUCGAGAAAUCGGUGCUAAUACCGGAUAAUAGAUGGAACUGCAUAGUUCCAUUUUAAAAGAUGGCAUCUCGCUAUCACUAUAGGAUGGGCCCGCGGUGCAUUAGCUAGUUGGUAAUGUAAUGGCUUACCAAGGCGACGAUGCAUAGCCGACCUGAGAGGGUGAUCGGCCACACUGGGACUGAGACACGGCCCAGACUCCUACGGGAGGCAGCAGUAGGGAAUCUUCCGCAAUGGACGAAAGUCUGACGGAGCAACGCCGCGUGAGUGAUGAAGGGUUUCGGCUCGUAAAGCUCUGUUGUUAGGGAAGAACAAGUGCCUGAGUAACUGCAGGCACCUUGACGGUACCUAACCAGAAAGCCACGGCUAACUACGUGCCAGCAGCCGCGGUAAUACGUAGGUGGCAAGCGUUGUCCGGAAUUAUUGGGCGUAAAGCGCGCGCAGGCGGUCUUUUAAGUCUGAUGUGAAAGCCCCCGGCUCAACCGGGGAGGGUCAUUGGAAACUGGGAGACUUGAGUACAGAAGAGGAGAGUGGAAUUCCACGUGUAGCGGUGAAAUGCGUAGAUAUGUGGAGGAACACCAGUGGCGAAGG